AGGAAUACCCGCUGAACUUAAGCAUAUCAAAAGCCGGAGGAA
Molecule: ribosomal RNA, 42 nt
Filed under: Trichoderma viride
Lineage: Eukaryota; Fungi; Ascomycota; Sordariomycetes; Hypocreales; Hypocreaceae
Description: partial 28S ribosomal RNA
Source: RNAcentral